AGAGUUUGAUCCUGGCUCAGAACGAACGCUAGCGGCGUGCCUAACACAUGCAAGUCGCACGAGAAAUCCCGGGCAACUGGGAGAGUAAAGUGGCGCACGGGUGAGUAGCGCGUGGGUAAUCUACCCUGAAGUUGGGAAUAACACCUCGAAAGGGGUGCUAAUACCGAAUGAUAUCCCCGGGAUUCCGGUCUUGGGGAUCAAAGAUGGCUGAGGCUUGCAAGCUAUUGCUUUAGGAUGAGCCCGCGUACCAUUAGCUAGUUGGUGGGGUAACGGCCCACCAAGGCCAUGAUGGUUAGCUGGUCUGAGAGGAUGGCCAGCCACACUGGAACUGAGAUACGGUCCAGACUCCUACGGGAGGCAGCAGUGAGGAAUCUUGCGCAAUGGGGGAAACCCUGACGCAGCAACGCCGCGUGAGUGAUGAAGGCCUUCGGGUCGUAAAGCUCUGUCAGAUGGGAAGAAAGUUUCGGCGGUGAACAAUCGCCGGGAUUGACGGUACCGUCAGAGGAAGCACCGGCUAACUCCGUGCCAGCAGCCGCGGUAAUACGGAGGGUGCAAGCGUUGUUCGGAAUCAUUGGGCGUAAAGAGCGUGUAGGCGGUCGGGUAAGUCAGAUGUGAAAUCCCUUGGCUUAACCAAGGAAGUGCAUUUGAAACUGCCCGGCUUGAGUACGGGAGGGGGAAGUGGAAUUCCCGGUGUAGAGGUGAAAUUCGUAGAUAUCGGGAGGAACACCGGUGGCGAAGGCGGCUUCCUGGACCGAUACUGACGCUGAGACGCGAAAAGCGUGGGGAGCAAACAGGAUUAG
Molecule: ribosomal RNA, 800 nt
Filed under: uncultured bacterium
Lineage: Bacteria
Description: bacterial SSU rRNA
Rfam family: Bacterial small subunit ribosomal RNA
Source: RNAcentral